UUCUUAUUCCUACGGGAGGCAGCAGUGGGGAAUAUUGCACAAUGGGCGCAAGCCUGAUGCAGCGACGCCGCGUGGGGGAUGACGGCCUUCGGGUUGUAAACUCCUUUCGCUAGGGACGAAGCUUUUUGUGACGGUACCUAGAUAAGAAGCACCGGCYAACUACGUGCCAGCMSCCGCRGWAAUGWGCCA
Molecule: ribosomal RNA, 189 nt
Filed under: uncultured Corynebacterium sp.
Lineage: Bacteria; Bacillati; Actinomycetota; Actinomycetes; Mycobacteriales; Corynebacteriaceae
Description: partial 16S ribosomal RNA
Rfam family: Bacterial small subunit ribosomal RNA
Source: RNAcentral